Molecule: ribosomal RNA, 305 nt
Filed under: uncultured bacterium
Lineage: Bacteria
Description: bacterial SSU rRNA
Rfam family: Bacterial small subunit ribosomal RNA
Source: RNAcentral
UUAUCCUACGGGAGGCAGCAGUAGGGAAUAUUCAAUAAUGGGAGAAAGCCUGAUGGAGCAACGCCGCGUGGGUGAGGAAGGUCUUCGGAUCGUAAAACCCUGUUGUUAGAGAAGAAAGUGCGUGAGAGUAACUGUUCACGUUUCGACGGUAUCUAACCAGAAAGCCACGGCUAACUACGCGCCAGCAGCCGCGGUAAUACGUAGGUGGCAAGCGUUAUCCGGAUUUAUUGGGCGUAAAGGGAACGCAGGCGGUCUUUUAAGUCUGAUGUGAAAGCCUUCGGCUUAACCGGAGGAGUGCAUUGGAA